CACCAAAGUGACUCCACUUUAGAAUGCUUGUCUGCUUGGAAACUAGAUCAGUCUCCCCUCUGAAUUAAAGAUAAAACUUGCUGUUUUGCAGCGUGUGUUCUAAGUUUAGCAGGAAUCAGUUUCGAUAAAGCUUGUGGUUAGCACAUCCUGGAGUUGUUGACAAGGCAGGAUGUAGCUAGCUAACCACAAACUGAACUGGGGGAUUUCCAGUAAAUCUAGUCCAGAAAGGGGAACUAGAAAUGUAGUAAACAAGUAGGGUAUAUAUUGUCCGGGGCUGAUUAGCUCUGGACAGACAGUUUGGAUCAGCAACAGCCCAUGUUGCCCUGUCUGUCGGUAGCUACCUAAUAAAGGUGUUUUUGUCCUCAACUAUUUUGGGCUCUUGAGUGGUGGUCUCAUAGCGGCUUGGCGAACUCGGGUAAUGUAUAAAUGUCUGGGGGACGCCCAAAUCACCCCUUACAUUUCUGGGGGCCGGUCCGGGAUUUCGGAAUUUUGGGAUUUCUAGUGUUUUGCCAAGGUUCUGUUGUAGCCCACUCAAGAGCUGCUCUUGGGAGCAAGGCGUGUCCACUUCCCCUUCCGGGGUGCUGCGUACGGUCCGCGCCGAGACGUGCGCACGGCCUCUAAAUAGAGGUAAAGACCGGUGGUUCCCUUCGCGGCACCCGAGCGAAGGAAAGGCGUGCUCUCCUCCAAAACAGAAGUUGUGAGACAACCACCGCUGGGAAAGUCGGCCGGCCGCCGCGGGACGGAACGAAAAUUAGGCAAGUAUACCUCUUAAAACCGCUUGUUGUUUAGCAUUGCGGGGAGGGAGAGUUUUAAAUUGUAGAAGCAGUUCGGGGUCCCGUAGGAAUCCCUUGGGAACCAAGAGAACCCCAAAGGGAAGAGAGCUCUGGGAAAGACCUGCAAGGGGAAUCCGACCAGGUCCGGAGGCAGGCCCUAGUAGCAAGACGUGCAAGGAUGGUCCGACCACGGUCUGGGGACAUACUCCACUAGGAAAAUAAUCUUUCACGUCCAGUGGGAAAGCGGAGGAAGACCGUUGAUCUUCCGGCUGUGCGGGCCAGGGUCAAAUCCGCGUACCCCAAUGGGUGGGAAAGAAUCGAAAGGGACAGGAGGGCCAAUGACCCCCCUCCGAUGUAUGUUGAAUAACUUUGAGCAAUUGAAGGAGUACACAGCCGAGGCAGGAAUGGUGCCUUGUUUGGAGGUUUGGAUGCUGUAUUUGGUUUGUGUUUGUGCUCGGUGCACUGUUUGGAAGUUUGGAUGUUGUGGAUGUAUACCAAGAGAAAGUGUUCCCAGUGAGAGUAGACCCGCAAGGGGAUCUGAAUACAGCAAAUGGUAGAAACUCAUUGAGGCUGUAUCAGAACCUGAAUGUUUGUGCCCUGGAAAAAGGGACUCCAAGAGUUCCAAAUUUGAGAAAGAUCUACCAGAUGGAGCAGGAGCAGAAUGAAAGUCCAGUAGCAUUUCUAGAAAGGCUCAGGGAAGCAUUCGAAAAGUUUUCUCCAUAUGACAUGGAUGAUCAGAGGGAUCAGGCGGCAGGAAAGAUAGUGUUGAAGAGUGUUUUCUCUAGCCAGUGCAGCCCAGACAUACGGAGAAAGUUACAGAAAGAUGCUGGUUUGGUCACUUGACUUUGGAAAGGAUUUUGGAGAUUGCAAACCAGGUUUAUUUGUCCCGGGAGGUGGUGCAAGCCAAACGGGAAGAGGCAGCGGUGUCUCGUAGGGCCAAGGUUAUAGCCGCUGUGUUAGGGCAUGAGCUUGGAAAGAAUAAAUGCGCACGGUGCCACAAGCAAAGGCACUGGGCGGCGGAUUGUAAGGUGGAUCUUGGAGGAGGACAGAAUAGGAAAGUGCAAAAUGGGAGUGGAAGUUGGAAAGGAAGGAGACAGAACCGUGGAGCUGUUAACCAGCCCAGUAGGGGUCCGGUUGCAAUUGGAUUGGUUGAUCCUGCAUUGGAUGAAGCAUGGGCUGGUUUUUCUGAGAGAAGAUGAUGAAUUUGAGUUUCCAGGAAUAUCUAUAUAAAUGAACAGAAAGGGAGCUGGGGCAUUGUGCCCUACAAGAGUGAAAAUGCAUGAUAGUAUGAAAAUGUAUAUGGCUGUUAUUUGUGUGUGUAUGAGAAGAACAUAAAGUGCAUGACACUAUAGCUUAUUGGAAGCUUUGCAGGCGGAUAAUAGAAAGGAAUAAAGGCAUGCAAGUUGCGUGUGUCGCGUGAGAUAGAGUGGCCCUCAUUCCCCUUCACUCCCCAGUGACUUUCCGAAGGUUCACUUGAUCCUGUUUACACUUUAAGAGUUUGUGUAUCUGUGUGAGGUUGUGCGAAAGGAUCCAGAAUGGGUGGAAGAAUGUUAGUGUAUGGCAGAAAACAAUGGGAUGACUGGAAGGAAUAGAGUUAUAGUUACAGGUGGUUCCCAAAUGGAAAUUGGCAUCCUAAUGGAAAGGAAAAGGGGAAGGCAAGACCUCCCCUAUCCAGACUCAAGGUGUGUUUUGUGAGUUUUGUGGGACCAGUGUGGUUUUGUGUCAUUAUAACCUAAGAUGCUUUGUUUGUUGCGUGUUCUUAGAACAGAUAGUAGAGAAGAAUGUUUGAGAGGAACUAAGGCUUUGUUAUAGUUUUGUUUUGUGAUAAAGGUUACAAGGUUUUGGGAAAAAAGGCUCAGCCAGUGUUAAGUGCAUGGGAUUUCGUUUGGGAAAAAGGUCUCCGGAGGCUAGAGGUGGAAUGCAAAGAAGCCAUUUGCUCCAUCCCUACCCCCCGGACUAGGAAACAGGUUAGAGAAUUCCUGGGAGAGGCAGGGUUUUGUCGUAUAUGGAUUCCGAACUUCGGACUAUAUGCCAAACCCCUCCACGAGGCUACCAAAGGGAAGUCAGGAGACCCCUUGGCAUGGGGAACUGAACAGCAAGAUGCGUUUGAGCAAUUGAAGAAAGCUUUGAUGUUUGCCCCAGCAUUGUAUGUAUGUAUGUAUGUAUGUAGGAGAACGCAAAGGAGUGGCUGUAGGAGUGUUGACUCAGCCGGUGGCUUAUUUGUCUAAGCAAUUAGACAAUGUGGCCUGUGGAUGGCCUUCAUGCUUGAGAGCUGUAGCGGCUGCUGCGGUUCUUGUGGAAGAAGUAAACAAGCUGACCUUAGGGCAGCCUGUGAUUUUAAAAUGUCCCCAUGCAGUAGUGACUUUAAUGGAACAAAGGGGACACCAUUGGCUCACCAAUAGCCGAAUGCUUAAGUAUGAGAGCAUGUUGGUAGACAAUCCACAGGUUAAAUUGACAGUGUGUGCCACUUUGAACCCAGCUACCUUGAUGCCAGUGGAAGAAGGAGAAUUGAUGCAGCAUGAUUGUUUAGAAGUGAUGGAUGAAGUGUAUUCAAGUAGGCCAGAUCUCAAAGAUCUGCCACUACAAACUCCGAAAUGGGUGCUUUUCACAGAUGGGUCAAGUCGUGUGGUUGGUUCCGAAAGGAGAGCGGGGUAUGCAGUGGUGAAUAGCAAUGGGGAGACCCUAGAGGCAAAGGGGUUGCCUCCGGGGACUUCCGCACAGCGGGUCGAGUAGAUUGCUCUGAUAAGAGCCCCCCCAAUUGACUAAAGGAAAAAGAGUCAACAUUUAUACUGACUCAAAAUAUGCCUUCACCACUUUGCAUGCCCACGGAGCCAUUCAUAAGGAAAGGGGACUGCUGACCUCUGCAGGACAGCAGAUCAAAAAUGCAACAGAAAUUUUGCAACUUUUAAAUGCAGUAUGGGAACCAAAAGAGAUAGCAGUCAUGCAUUGCAAAGGACAUCAGUAUGGUGAGGAUCAGGUAACACAGGGAAAUCGCCUGGCAGACCAACAAGCUAGGAAAGCAGCAGAUGAAAGCACAUCAGAAGAAGCAGUUUUACAAUUGGAUGUUACGCCCGUAGUAGAGUCCAUGACUUACUCUGCACAAGAGAAGGAGUGGGCCCUAGCAGAAGGGGAAAAAUGGAAGGGUAAGGUUUUUAUCUUACCCAAUGAGAAAAUUUAUGUCCCAAAAGCUUUGGGAUGGAAAUUAUUAAAGAAAUUAGUAGACAAACCCAUUUAGGUGCAAUUGGAAUAGCUUCACUCUUGGAGGGGCAGCUCUGGGUGGAUGGCUUGCAGGCCUUGGCCGGAGCUGCUGCCCCAGGAUGUGAAAUUUGUAAACAACACCCUUUAAAUCUUUUGAGUCCUUAGUAGUUGAUUUCGCCGAAGAUGCCAAGGGUCUGGAGUAUUCAGGGUGGAUUCCAACCACCGCUGAAAGAGUUGUAGAGGUCAGGCGUGCUUUGUCAAGGGAUGCAAUCCCUGGGCACGGGAUGCUCUACACAUUGGGGUGACAAUGGCUCAGUCAUUUGGUCACCAGGUGGCAGAGGCCCGCGGCCUUUGUUCACCAGGUCCUUGGGUGCCUAGCCCAGGUGGGAGGCACCGCUUGGAAAUUGCAUUGUAAUUGACCCUAAUCUUUGGGUAAAAGAAUGAACAGGGCUCUGGAAAGAAGUCCAAUCUUUGGACAGGUUGUUAACCAACAUGUAUGAAAGUACCAGGCUUUUGCCAACCUUAUGAAUUGUUGUAUGGAAGACCCUCUCUGAGAAUUAGACCUCUGCAAUGAGACAUACAUGAAUUGGGAAAACAGGAAUUGAUGAAAGAGGUCCAAAUUCUGAAUAUGGUGUUAAACAAACUGUAUAAAUUUACUGGAAUGCUGCGUUAUCCCUUUCCCUGUUACUGCGCUACAUGUUUUUCUCACCAGGAGACUAGGUUUGCCUGAAAGAUUGGAAGUAUGAUCCCCUCGGCCAAGGUGGAAGGAACCACUGGAGGUGUUCGACCACUGGAGGUGGUCCAAAUAACUCUUACUACUGUGAAGUUAAGCGAUGUGGAGCCGGGGGUACAUUACACCUGCAUAAAAAAAAAAAAAAGGACUACACCACCAAAGACCCUGACAUCUGGAAGGUAAACCUGCGUAAGGACAAUCCACUCAAAUUCACACACCCUAAGGGUCAAGCUACCAAGAGCUGCCCUGAAGAGGAGGGGCCCGAAGCUACCUAGAGCUAGCCCCAGAGGUCAGGUUACCUAGAACCGCCUUGAAGAAGGAAGGAGGGUACACUUCCGAGAGUGUCCCAAAAGACCGAAUGGACACUGGGUUUUGGGUGUGGGGAUUUGUGGGUUGUAUUGUAUUCUGUUUUUGUGCUCUGUGCUGUAAUAUUGAGGACAAACACAAGUGUGAAAAUGAGGACACAAUUAUGCUUUUUAAUAUUGAUCAUGAUGCCAUUGGUGCAGGCCCAGAUGGGUUGGGACAGAAACACGUUCCACCAACUAAUUAAAGAUAUAGUAAAGAAGCAGAGGUUAAAGACUGCUGGAUUUGUGCCCAUAGCCCUCACUCUCAAUAUGAGGGUUGGGUCAUGAAAGCAGGGCCACUGCUGGAUGUAUCUGGAUGGAAAUUGUUCACCCCUUGGACAUAUGCUGACCAAGAGGGGUUGACUGAUUCGGCUCAAUUUAUGUUGGCCCAUGAUGAUUCUGCACCAACUGCAUCAGCUUGUUUGGCAAGAUUCACAGAUGGGAUCUCAGAAAUUGAUCAUAAAAAACUUCCCCCAAGCCAAUCUCAUAGAAGUAGGAGAUUACCCUCAUUGUAAUCUCACUCUCCCUGUAUAUUAUGACAACAUAUUCAUGAGAGUUGAAUAGCCACAGAGAGAUGGUCACCUGAAAAAAAAAAAAAUCAAGAAGGCAAGCUUCCUUGCCAGAGGGUGAUGGUAAGAAACCACCUUCUCGUUCGGCACGAUAUGUGGUUAAGCCCGGGUCGGAGCUGCCUCGUGCAGCAACUCAGCCACCUGCGGCGGGAGGCAAGCCUCCACCACGACAAGAUCUGGUCCGGACACAAGGAAGCUUCCCAAUGGAAUACCAAAUUCCUGAAAGGCCAAGGCCCGGUAUUUUGCUUGAUAACCAUGCCAUGGGAGGAUUGCCUCCGGGGUAUUUCUGGAUAUGUGGGAAGUGGGGAGGUAAAGUCUUGCCUCCACUUUGGGUUGGUACUUGCACCAUUGGUACCCUAGUCCCCACCAAUAUUGAGAUACACCCGCGAGAGUAGCCCCUGCAGGCAUUGGGCAACAGACCGGUGAAACAGGCCUAAAAGAGCUUAUGAUGAAAACGUGGCUAUGAUCCUGAUAUCUAACUGAGGGAGAAGGAUUUAGAACAGGUUCGCUGAUUACCUUGUGGAUUGGGUGGCUGAGAGACCUCAUCAAAAUAUUAUUUGUCAUGUUGCUAAUCAUGAUUUUUGCCUUGUCUCUUUUGCCAUGUAUCAGGUCGUGCUUGAAGAGAAGUUCAACAUGUUACAUACAGCUGAAUACCUUGGAAUACCCCACUGUAAUUGGACACCUGUGCAACCAAGAAAUUGUCUUUCUUGGUUACAUGAAAAAACGGGGGAAUGAAGGGGUCACUGAGACACCAAAGUGACUCCAAUUUAGAAUGCUUGUCUGCUUGGAAACUAGAUCAGUCUCCCCUCUGAAUUAAAGAUAAAACUUGCUGUUUUGCAGCGUGUGUUCUAAGUUUAGCAGGAAUCAGUUUCGAUAAAGCUUGUGGUUAGCACAUCCUGGAGUUGUUGACAAGGCAGGAUGUAGCUAGCUAACCACAAACUGAACUGGGGGAUUUCCAGUAAAUCUAGUCCAGAAAGGGGAACUAGAAAUGUAGUAAACAAGUAGGGUAUAUAUUGUCCGGGGCUGAUUAGCUCUGGACAGACAGUUUGGAUCAGCAACAGCCCAUGUUGCCCUGUCUGUCGGUAGCUACCUAAUAAAGGUGUUUUUGUCCUCAACUA
Molecule: long non-coding RNA, 6735 nt
Organism: Anolis carolinensis (green anole)
Lineage: Eukaryota; Metazoa; Chordata; Lepidosauria; Squamata; Anolidae
Exons: 2
Source: RefSeq, a predicted model, not a curated record